Gambusia affinis (western mosquitofish) is the source of this 535-nucleotide long non-coding RNA. RefSeq lists it as uncharacterized. Lineage: Eukaryota; Metazoa; Chordata; Actinopteri; Cyprinodontiformes; Poeciliidae. The transcript has 4 exons. The record is from RefSeq and is a predicted model, not a curated record.
CCACUCCGCCAAGACGGACGUGGCGGAGUCCACGCGUCUCAUUAAAGCUAGUCAAAACAACAGGCAUCUAUAAUCUAAACCUGUCAGCCCUCGGUGUAAUGGCGGAUUUGCAGCGAAGGGUUUUUACAAGGUUCAGAUGGAGGCAAGGAAGCCCCGCCUCCUUCCCUCUGCUGUACCGAAGACCUCAACAUACUGCAGUGACAACACAAAUAUUGAGCCGUUUUGUGGCGUCUUGUCACUUUAAAUCUAAAUAAGCUGCUGCUGGCCACGCCCCCCAAUACAACGUUUAGACUUGCAUGUGAAAAUGGCUGCCAACAGAUGCACAUUUAUACAACAGUACAUCUUUGAAAAUCAGAAGUGGAGCCUCCUGUACAACCAGCAAGAAAGCAGGAAGUGGUUUCUGGGUGGAAUCAGAAUCACCUGCACAACACAGGGGGCAGCGACUCCCCAAAUAAUGAGCAACAUAAAGCUUGUUAGGGCAUUUUACUUUGUUUCUAGCUCCUGAGCCACCCCCAACAAGAUGCUGCUCCGGGCA